This 97-nucleotide signal recognition particle RNA is filed under the name Alphaproteobacteria bacterium. RNAcentral describes it as "signal recognition particle sRNA small type". It matches the Rfam family "Bacterial small signal recognition particle RNA". From Rfam's summary of the family: The signal recognition particle (SRP) is a universally conserved ribonucleoprotein involved in the co-translational targeting of proteins to membranes. The record is from RNAcentral. Lineage: Bacteria; Pseudomonadati; Pseudomonadota; Alphaproteobacteria.
GGGGAUUGGCGGCGGGCGCGCCACUCGCCAAUCCGGUCAGAUCCGAGAGGAAGCAGCCGUAACGAGACCGGCUCGGGUCGCCAGUCCAGUCCCCCAC